Molecule: long non-coding RNA, 3865 nt
Filed under: Canis lupus familiaris (dog)
Lineage: Eukaryota; Metazoa; Chordata; Mammalia; Carnivora; Canidae
Description: lncRNA (ENSCAFG00845012401.1)
Source: RNAcentral
AGCAGGUUCCCUGUGGGGAGCCCAAUGUGAGACUCAAUCCCAGGACCCAACCAUUGAGCCAUCCAGGUGUCCCUAGAGAGUUUCUAUAUUUUUCUCAGUUAUAAUAUGGAAAAAAACCCUGGAUUUUCAAAUAACUCAUCCAAGAUACUAUAGCUAACAAUUUUAAAAAACAGGUCUAAAUUCAAAUUUUCCAGUUUCUAGGGUAGAGCUCUUUUCAGAAAAGCAACUCAGCUAGUUGCCUCCCUCCUCUUGUAUAAAUUGUUUGGAAAGUCUUCAAGUUUAGUUAUAAUAACAAUAUUUUUAGUAUAUAUAGACAUUUGCUAUGUUAAUGAGAUAUUACUUGGCAACUGUUAUUUACUAAAUAACAUGCACAUGUGUCUCAUUAAACAACAUGUAAAACAGCUGACUCACCACAAUUUAACAUCAAUUCAGAAAGUACUAAUGUAGACUAAACCCUUAGGCACUAGGACAUAAUAAUUUAUAAGAUACAACAAAUAUCUUAGAAUAAAACAAGUUUUGCUGUAAUUAAUUAAAUAUGAUCCCAAAUCACUAGAGCUUAAAAUUUCAUUUUUCUCAAACCACAUGACCCUUUUUGGGUGACCAUGAGUCUGUUGUCCUCAUAAAGUAACCUGGCUACCCUUACUGACUUUUUCUUACACAUUUUCCCACAAUCCACAUGGCAGGGGAUAAGAAUAUGGCCCAUCACUCUGAUUAUUAAAGUUUCAGUACAAAGGUGGCUCAGAUCAUAAGGCUUAUUUGAAAAUGGUUAUGGCAGGACAAUCAUACCAUGCGUUUGGAAGGAGGGGGUCAGAAUAUCUACAAACAGUCCUAAUGAUUCUCAAAACUUCUGUCCUGGAGCUAUUCAUAGUAUUUUGGAGAAGACAGCAAGUAAACACAUAAGUAAUUAUAAUAACAUGAUAAAUCGGGAAAACUAUAGUUGGGGACAAAGUAAUCUGUGGAGUGGAAUACAAUAAUUAAAUUUUCUUGGAGGAAACAGAAAAUACUUCUUAGAGAAACUGGCAUAUGACUUGACCUAUAAAGAUAAACUUAUUAAGUAGAUCAUGAAAGACAGCAUUCUAUUCAUAAACCUCAAAUAAAUUCCUGUUUAUAUGCAAUUGAGAACCACUUAAACCAGCAUAAAGACCUAGUUUUAAUGAACUAAUCACAUUAAGUUAUAUGGUUUUAGAUAAAAUACUUUGCCUCUCUAGACCACAAGCUUCAUGAUGAUAUAAGAAAGAUGAACUAAUAAGAAUGUUUUCAACUUUAAUGUUAUAUAUUGGAAUUUUUUGUGUUGGAAAUUUGUCAGUAAUUUGCAAGUCCUAACAUUUUGCUAAUCAUUACAUAUCAAAGAAGGGCAAAUGGCAGGUAUUACAAAUGAGUCUGCACUUUGUAGACCAAUUCUAGUUAUUUAGAAGGGUCUGAGUAAGAAGUAACCUGAAAAUAAAAUGGUGUGAAUCACUGACAAUGUCUCCUAUGGAUCCAGAAGUAAAGGUGGGAUUGAGUAGAGAUGUAGGAGUAGUUAUCCCCAAGAGUUCUUUCUAUAGAAGUGGUGCCAUUUAAACGGUUGUUAGGCCUGUGAUAAAAAUAAAUUGGCAUGAUAUUGGUGAUAUAUGGUGAUAUCACACCAGUAUAUUUUUAUCACAGGCCUAACAAUGGAUGAAAUGGCACCAAUUUUAUAGUGAUAUAUUUUAUAUAUCACUUUUUUAUAGUGGUAUAUAUCCUAAAUACACACACACACACACACACACACACACACACACACACACACACACCUCCUGUGUGAUAUAUAAAAUUUUGAUAGCGAUAAAUGAAUCAUCUAGUAGCCAGAGUGUUCCUUACCUUUCUUUAACACACUCACUCUCUCACUCAUGAAUGCAGAAGAUUAAUUCACCCAGGACCUAGCACCUAGUUUUAACCAGCCACACCAGAACCAGGGAUUUCCUUUUUUAUACUGAAACCUGUCUUUGAAUCUGGGAGCAUGCAAUAAAAUUGGUGGAGAAAAAGAAAGCAUAGAAAAAUUAAACCGGCAAUGAGAAGUAGAAAAUAGAGGGAAAAGUAGAGAAUGCCAUUUAAAACGUGGAUAUUCUAGUUUCUUCCAUUCUUUAAACGAACUAUUCUUGGUUUUAUGAUUUUUUUCCUAAAUAAAGUGAAGGCUAAAACCUAUUCUCAAAAUAUCUCCAUACUUUAAAAUACCUCCAUAUAGAUGUAAGUAGUUUUAUAGCAUUAUAUAAGUCCUAGCAAAUGAGAAUUUAUCAUCCAAUUGAAAUAAUUAUUAAAUGAUAAGCCAUUUAUUCUGCUUUCAGCAAAGAAUAAUGAUUGAAUGAAAAUGAGUUGCCAGGCAAUGAACUAUUUCUUGAUUAAAUAGAAUAGUGUAGGUUUAUGUUUUCCUUUUCUGGUAAAUAAACUACUUACCUGUGUAACUGUCAUAAAAUGUGUAUUUUAGAUUGAAAUAUAUAGAUAGAACAAAUCCCAGUGUACAGUGUUUCUGCUUUACUCCAUUGAAAAUUCCUUUCCAGAAGUCAGCAGCUAUGUAUAAUUUUCAAAUGUAUUUUUUCCAAAACAUUUCUUAGUUCAAGACUUAUAACUAUUUAUUUCCUCUUAUCAAGUACUUAGAGAUUCAAGGCUUGUGCCGUUGAUUACAACUAACCCAAUUAUAAGGGAAAAUAAGUAGAGGAAACAUUGGGAAGAAAUACGAAAUGUGUGAGUGAAAGUGGUAUAUAACAACAUAAGGUCUAGUUUUAAUUGCCCCCAAGUAAUACUAAUUAUUUCAAUCUAUUUUAUAAUAGAAAUCCAAUAAGUAAUACAGAAAUAUUUUAAUUAACCCAUCGGAGUAUAAACUUGCUUAAUUUAUUAUUCAAUUAUUGGUUGUAAAUAGAUAACUUUUAGUGAUGCUGCCAUGGGUAAAAUAGCUGUAUCUAGAAAGCACUUAAUCCAAUUAAUAAUUAUAAAACAUAAUGAUACCUAAUUUGAUUUUCUAUUAUUUUCUAACACUUUGUGUUCUCUUCUGCUCUGCACUCUUACAAACAUAUUCACCAUACACAAACCAUAUACAUUUAGAAAAAUGUAUCAGCAAACCAACACCAUAAUUUCUUUGUAAGACAACGAAAUUGCAUUUGGACAUUAGUUAUUGAUGUUGUAUUUGUUUAUUACUUGUUUGGUUUGUUUGUUUUAUUUAUUUGGCAUUUUAUUACUUCUAGCAAUACUGCCAUAGGGAUAGACCCUUAAAACAUUUGAAGAUAGCUCUUUGAUAUCAAUGAACUUAGAUCUAUAUACAAAUCACCACGAUAUGUCAUUUACAUGUAAUAUUUCCCCAGUUCUCCCUACAAUUACUGUGCUAUUAGUCUUUGAAGGGGCCAAGGAAUUAUUAUUAUUUUUAAAAAUGAGAAAACUGAAGCUUAGAUUAAAUGAAUUGCCCAGUGAUAGUAGUUAUGUGAUUUUGGACUCAAAAUAAGGUGUACCAAAUUGCAUAAUGUUCUUUAUGUAGAAGGAAAAUUAUUGCAAAUAUUUUCAGAGAUAACUUUAUAAAACUAGGCAACAGCUAUGUAAAAAUGAAGAAACCCUAUGUAGGUAUUGGAGGAGUUUGCACUAAGUUAGGAUGUCGCAUUAACUGUUAUGUCUAACUAUCCUUAAUUACCUGAUUAGAAAACUAUACUUCUAGACAAGUGUUAUCCAAUACAAUAGCCACCAGCCACAUGUGGCCAUUUAAAUAUAAGCGUAAAAUCUGACAUUAAAUAAAAGUAAAAAUUUGGUAUUCAUUUACACAAACUACAUUUCCAGUGUUCAAGUACUCAACAGUCAUAUGUAGCUAAUGAUUACUGCACAGUACACAGUACAAAUGGAGAUUUCCAUUAUCAUAGAAUGUUUU